GGUGGGGCUUGGUUUUAUACAGGGAUUGGUUGAGCGUAUUCCUGUAAGAUUUUUGUUUUUCUAUGUUUAUAUUAUCUUUGCUGCUAUUGUGGUUAAGUAAAGAAAGUGUUAAGCAAUAUGGGCCUCCAUGUCUUGUAAUAAAAUGUAAGGCUCUGAUUAAUAUGGUUCCUUAUUGGUUUUAUUAAUUAUUUCUUUAGAGUCAAUAAUGAUUGGUAUUUUUACGUUUUGAAGCACAGUUAGAAAUAUUAAAUUUUUUUUUGGUUGGUUAUGGCUUAUUUUACUCUUGUCUUGUGGAUCAAAAGCAGAUACAAGAAAGAUUAUAAUAUUUAACUUUAACUUCAGUCUUCAUAAAUUAUUAUAUGCAGCUAUGAAUCUUUGAGUAAACAUUGCUCUUUUCUACAGUUACAAUGGCGUAAUCUCCUGGCGUUUGUAUAAAUGUUGGCCAGAAAUGUAUUUUGUAUUUUAUUUUUUAAUUACUCCAUACGCAUAUUGUGUACAUUGCCACAGUGUUAAUUCUAUAUUAUCAAUGUGGCUGAAAAGGGGUUUAGGUGAAAGCAUUACUAAAGAGUUUGACAUUAAACCAGGAGAAAGUACCCAUACACUCAAGGCAACAUAACUACAACAGUAAACUGUAGUUAUGCUGCUGAAAGUGCCCCUUUAAGGAAUAAAUUAAGAUAAAAAUAGACAAUUCUCACAAUAAUCUAAUUUAUUAUUUGUAUUACAGGUGUGGAGCUGGUUGCUGCCUCAUUCCAUUUUGCAUUGAUUCGUUGAAAGAUGUGGAUCAUUAUUGCUCCAGCUGCAAUGCCCUUGUUGGUUCAUACAAAAGGAUUUAAGAACUAUUUAAGCUCAAUGAGAUACAUAAUCAUUUCAUCUUCAUUCUUGAUUAAUAUUUCAAAGCAAAGACUAUGCAAUCUAUGUUUGGGAAAUUGUGAUAGAUAUUAUACUUUGAAGGCUAGGUAUUCAAGAUCAGUGUAUAUUGUAACAUGGCCAGGGUUAAACAUUACAUUUUUAUGAUACAUUCCAAGAAUCAGGCAAUUUAUCAUCUAGCCAUAGCCACAAAAAAAGCAUUUUUAUGUCGUUUGUUUUUUUUGUUUUGUUUUGCUGGAGGUCAUAUUAUACUGUUAGCAUGUUUAGUAAGUCUUUAUUUGUUACAGGAAGAUAAAUGUUUUAUAUUGGUUAUAUAUCUAAUUUGAAAUAUUUUGGUGUCUUUGUUUUUGUUUGCUUUAUUAUCAACCAAUUAUUCCAUGAUUUCUCCACAUUAAGUAUCUGUGAAAAUCACUGAAUCGUGAUGCUGGAAAAAAAGGGUUUUGUUGUGCUUGACUAUAUACCCUAAUCGAAUAGCCGCUAAAUGUUGAUGAUACAUUGUUAGCUUCGUACUUCUGGCCUCUCCAUCCAUGCAUCAUGUUUUUUGUUUUACUAUUUCCCCAUUUUGUUUUUGUGUUUUUAAAUUGUCAAAGUGCAUUGUAAAUACAAAAUAUCAUAAAAUAUAUUUCUAGUUAACUAUAGCACAUAUUCUGAAGUUGUUUCUAGUUUUUGUCUCCCUUUAGAAUCAGAAAAAUAGCAGAUUUAGCAUAUUUCAAUGAUUCACAUAAAUUACAGCUUUCUAUUGAUCUUCACAUCAUUUUUGUAAAUAUGAGUUAUAUUUGCACUACUUUUUUACUUUUCAAAAGCCAGCAUUUUAGUUACGAAAAAGUUUAAUGUUUGUUUAUUUUCAUAACGUAACAUUGUUAAACAUUUCCAAUUUAAAAAUGUCAAUGCCUAAAAGAGAAAUCUUUAGUUUUCAUUCGUCUGCUGCCUUGUAAGUGUAAGAUUUGUGAAGUGUAAGGUUUUUUUGUUUUUGGUUUUUUUUUUAUGGCUAUAUUCAUCUUUGUUUACCAAGGAUACAAGAAAUAUUGCAUAAUUUAUUAUCUUGUUUCAAAAAAGAACACUUAAUUAGACAUGUGUACAACUUUAUUAAUUAUUGCUCCUGAACAGAAGUUUGCAAUCUAGGCACAUGAGGCUGCCACAACAAAAUGGAAACACUGGUGAGAUCAGAGAAUCUCCCCUGUGGGCCAGGUGCCUUCCUCUGCUACCACACGGGAGGUUUUCAACUGCAUCUCUGGUGGGUGCAGACCAAUUGUAUAUCUCUCCAAUGCAAUGUGGCAUUUGUGACUGAUGUGAAGAGCCAACACGGAGGGAGAUGUAUAACUAGUCUUCCACCAGUGGAGAUCACGCUACAAUCUGGUGUCAUCAAGGCUCCAUGUCCCUCUUCGUGGUCAAAGGAAAGCAAGAGGGAGGCUACACAAACAAACUGCAUAAUAACUUUUUAUAUUAAAUUUUAAAACAAAUUGAUUAAACAGUGCACAAUAGAGCCCCCCCAAAAACACUGCAAACAUUUAACACACACAAUUUACACAUUGCCAUGAACAACCACACAAAGCAGCCAUGCAUACAUAACACAAGCUAAAGUCACAUUCCAAUGUUAACAUAAAGCCUGCACUGUAAGGGACUAAAAGCAUAUUACUACCUUACAGUUACCUACCUUAGCUCUAGAAGCUAUACGUUGUUAUUAUGAAGUAAUAUGCCACGUUUUACAGAAUCACAAGUGAAUAGUUUGCCCACAAAUAUUUAUUAAUCUCUUGUUUAAUAACUAACUUCUACCAAAGCAAAUUCAAAGUUUUAUACUUUGAGGUACAUUUCUCAAUAAUAACCAAAAGUUGUCUAUGGUAGGCACUUUUUGUGGACCACUCAAUAGAUCAUUGAUGCACAAAGCUUUGAACUUUAUUUUGCUGUUUUUACAGUUGUUACAUUUUUAUCAUUACAAGUGAAUGGCUCAGAGAAAACAUUUUGUUUGCACAAUAAAGCCAACUACACUUGCUUGUUUUACUGGUAUUCCUAAACCUUUACGCAAUACCUUUCUAUAUUGAAUCACCUUUCAGACUUAAUGUUCUUUCAUUCAUAUGACUGCUAAAAUGUGUGUUUUGUCCUAUAUUGGAAAGAUGAUCUAAAAUAUACAAUUUGAGGUGUUUUAACAUCCUACAGGGUUGUUUACUAACUUGGUUGUUUAAUAAAGUAAGAAUUCCAACUAAAUUACAAAUUUAUGGGCAGAAUAGUGGGAUUAAAAAAAAAAAUCCCUGGCCUAAAGUUUUAAAUUGUCAAAGUGCAUUGUAAAUACAAAAUAUCAUAAAAUAUAUUUCUAGUUAACCAUAGCACAUAUUCUGAAAUUGUUUCUAGUUUUUGUCUCCCUUUAGAAUCAGAAAAAUAGCAGAUUUAGCAUAUUUCAAUGAUUCACAUAAAUUACAGCUUUCUAUUGAUCUUCACAUCAUUUUUGUAAAUAUUGUUUUCCUAUAUUUACAGUUCGGCUGUUCUGUUCAAAACGUGUUCAUUCACUGAAGUGUUAAUUAAAAGUUCUAUAUUAUAACAUCAGUGCCCUUUAUAAACUCAUCUUCUCAAUAUGCUGGAAAUCUUUGAUAUAAGGUGUUGCUUAAUUAAGAGUGUAUUUCUUUAAUAACAUUAUAAAACUAUUAGAGAAUGUGAAACACAAGAUAAGCUUGGGAAUGUUAACAAAUAUACUUUAAAAAUAGAGGAAUUGAAGUAACACAUAAAAAAAAAAAAAGGAUUCUAGGCACUGUGUGUGUCUUUCAUGCCUAAAAUGUUUGCAUUAAUAGAAUUGCAGCUGUGCUGGUAUUUGUGAAAAAUAGGUUAUUUAAAGGGAUAAUAUAAGUACCAAAACAACUUUAGCUUAAUUAAGCAGGUUAUUUAUUUUUUUUUGGUGCAUAGAUGAUGCCUCUGUAGUCUCACUACUUAAUUCUCAUCCAUUUUAGGAGUUAAACCACUUUUGUUUCAGUUUAUGCAGCCCUAGCAAUACCUCCCCUGGCUAUAAUGCACACAUUAAAAAAUAAUUGUUUCAUUUUUAAUCUGAUCUUAAACUUUUUAUCUCGUUCAAAUUGUCAAACUUAAAUCACACACGAAACUCGUGCAUGCUUUUACAGACUAUUAGUAGAGAUGGGGAUUAGAAAUUAUAAUUUAAACAGACUGCAAUAAAGGAAGUUUAAACAUUAGAUCUCUCUUUACAUAAAGUGUUGCGAAAGGCUGUGUAAGUCACAUGCAGGGGAGAUGUUACUAGGGCUGGAUAACUAAGUUCCUCUUUCACAUUUUUUUUUUUUUUUAAACUUUUGAUUAACUUUAUUUUGAGAAGUAAUAUAAUUGUGAUUAAUUUGUUCUCCAAUACUGUUAUUUUUUAAUUUAUUUAAUGCUUUGUCUACUAAAUACAAGUUGUAUGUCUGGUUGACAAUUUAUAUAAUGUCCUUAAUACUUUGGGUUGUUGAAGGUAUCAAAAGAAUUAUGGAGAGUCUUUGUAUAACCCUUACUAUCACAUUUCGUAACAAAUGCUCAACUCAAAACAAAGUUAAUUAAUGACCACAUUUUUAGGGGACCAUUUGAUAAAUUGGAAAGAAACCCUUAUAGGGCUUUAAGAAACAAAACAGGGAGUACAGGUUGCAACAAGAUACUAAUAGCUUCUAGAUAUAUAAAUGAGAAGCAUCCUGUUGGAGGGAUACCCUUACCUUCUGGAGUGCUGCAGCCCAUAUGUUCACUUGGACAGUUGUUUAGCGAUGUUCCUUUCUCUCUCUCUCUAUUUUAAUAUCUUCUUAUUCACCUUAUAGGGCCUUGCCUGUCCGUUUUAUGCAAGACCACCAUUGUCCAAGUUUUGGUAGGGGUUGUUGCACAUAAAAGUUUGCCAAUAUAAACAGUCUUGGUUAAUAUGUUCAUGCAUAAAAGGGGUAGGCAACCUUUGGGACUCCAGAUGAUUUGGAAUACAUCUUUCAUAAUGUUAAAGCCACAAUGCUGGCAAAGCAUCAGGUGAGAUGCAGUCAAUAACAAAUGGGAAAGGUUGCUUACACCUGUACCUAGUGCCCAGAGAAUUUCCAUCUGGCAGCCAGUUUAUCUACAAACAUAGUGACUUCGAGAAGCCAGAGUGGUGGAUACAAAGUAGCCUUUCAGAGUGGUAGGUUACACACGACUCAAAUUUCUUACCAGUCAAGCAAAUCCUGAUUUGCAUUGCUAAUCCCAACAAUACAUUUUUCUUUUUCUCUUUUGUCUUCAUGGCGUCCUCUCUUUGCAAAUAGCAUAAUUAAAAUAGCGAUCUAAGACUGACUAUGUCAUAUUUUUCAGCACAUAACUUUCUUAUAUAUUUUAUAGUUUGCUACUCUUAAGCUUGAAUUAUUUACUUUAUAAUGCAGUAUUUAUCAUUAUUGUUAAACUUUAUUAAUCUUGAUAAUCACUAGUUUUAAAAAUGUAUAUUGUUUCAAAAUAUUGUUUUCUAUAUAUAUAUAUAUAUAUAUAUAUAUAUAUAAUUUUUUUUUUUUUUUUUUUUUUGUAAUGUACGUGUAGAUCACCGUUUGGAUAUUUUCAUUUUGUUUUCUGGGGAAAAAGUCACACAUUUUGAAAGAUGUCUAACACCAGAAAACUUUCUAAGGACCAAAAAAAAGAAAAUGUUUGCUAGAUACAUGUUUAAAAUGUUUAUAUUUGUAUAAACGUAAAAAAUUUUUAUUACUGUAGUUCUAUAAUGUAUUUGUAAUAUAU
This is a non-coding RNA of Pelobates cultripes (western spadefoot toad), 5562 nucleotides long. The record is from the annotation of a GenBank genome assembly. NCBI's taxonomy places the organism in Eukaryota, Metazoa, Chordata, Amphibia, Anura, Pelobatidae.